Brachypodium distachyon (stiff brome) is the source of this 192-nucleotide non-coding RNA. The record is from RefSeq and is marked provisional. Lineage: Eukaryota; Viridiplantae; Streptophyta; Magnoliopsida; Poales; Poaceae.
AUAAGGCCAGCACGGGAUUUUAUAACGGACUUUGGCGAAACAUUACUUGGUAAUACGAUGUUAUUGCGACACAAAAGAGAUAUCGUUGUAUUUAUAUUGGAAAACUCAAUAAAUAGUAUAACAUUUAUAUACCUACAUUUUUUGUAUAAUUGUUCGUCAAAGUUUGGCAUAGAAUUCAAUGCAGGUCUUAUA